This 472-nucleotide ribosomal RNA is filed under the name uncultured bacterium. Its description in RNAcentral is "bacterial SSU rRNA". It matches the Rfam family "Bacterial small subunit ribosomal RNA", at positions 22 to 518 of the family's 1533-position model. The record is from RNAcentral.
GGUCAGGAUUAACGCUGGCGGCGUGCCUAAUACAAUGCAAGUCGGAUGGUAGCAAGUACCAUGGCGAACGGGUGAGUAACACGUAGGUAACCUGUCAUUAAAGACGAGAAUAACCAUUGGAAACGAUGGAUAAUGCUGGAUAGGAUAUUUAAGGGCAUCCUUGAAUAUUUAAAGAUUUAUCACUUAAUGAGGGGCCUGCGGCGCAUUAGCUAGUUGGAAAGGUAAAGCUUACCAAGGCGAUGAUGCGUAGCCGGACUGAGAGGUUGAACGGCCACAAUGGAACUGAGAACGGUCCAUACUCCUACGGGAGGCAGCAGUAGGGAAUUUUCGGCAAUGGGCGGAAGCCUGACCGAGCAAACCGCCGCGUGAUCGAUGAAGUAUUUCGGUAUGUAAAGAUCUUUUAUUAGGGAAGAAAAGACAGAUUGACGGUACCUAAUGAAUAAGCUCCGGCUAACUACGUGCCAGCAGCAGC